GAUGAAGAACGUAGCGAAAUGCGAUAAGUAAUGUGAAUUGCAGAAUUCAGUGAAUCAUCGAAUCUUUGAACGCACCUUGCGCUCGUUGGUAUUCCGACGAGCAUGCCUGUUUGAGUGUCAUUAAAUUCUCAACCUCAUCGCUUUUGUGAUGAUGGCUUGGAUGUGGAGGUUUUCUGCAGGCCGAACGGUCUGCUCCUCUCAAAUGAAUUAGUGGGUGCCCCGCGCAAACCUAUCUAUUGGUGUGAUAAUUAUCUACGCCGUGGAUCUUAGGAUUGCUGUAAAAAGGUGUUUGCCCCGCUUCUAACCGUGGUCAGACAACUUGAACCAUUUGACCUCAAAUCAGGUAGGACUACCCGCUGAACUUAAGCAUAUCAAUAAGCGGAGGA
Molecule: unclassified non-coding RNA, 386 nt
Filed under: soil metagenome
Description: partial contains 5.8S ribosomal RNA, internal transcribed spacer 2, and large subunit ribosomal RNA
Rfam family: 5.8S ribosomal RNA (bases 1-120)
Source: RNAcentral